AUAUUGGACAAUGGGGGCAACCCUGAUCCAGCCAUGCCGCGUGUGUGAUGAAGGUCUUCGGAUUGUAAAGCACCUUAAGUUGGGAGGAAGGGCUUUAGGCUAAUACCCUGAAGUUUUGACGUUACCAACAGAAUAAGCACCGGCUAACUCUGUGCCAGCAGCCGGGGAAAUACAGAGGGUGCAAGCGUUAAUCGGAAUUACUGGGCGUAAAGCGCGCGUAGGUGGUUCAGUAAGAUGAGUGGGAAGUCCCCGGGCUUAACCUGGGAACUGCUUUCAUAACUGAUGAGCUAGAGUACGGUAGAGGGAAGUGGAAUUUCCUGUGUAGCGGUGAAAUGCGUAGAUAUAGGAAGGAAAACAAGUGGCGAAGGCGACUACCUGGACUGAUACUGACACUGAGGUGCGAAAGCGUGGGGGGCAAAC
This 420-nucleotide ribosomal RNA is filed under the name uncultured bacterium. Its description in RNAcentral is "partial 16S ribosomal RNA". It matches the Rfam family "Bacterial small subunit ribosomal RNA", at positions 361 to 773 of the family's 1533-position model. The record is from RNAcentral.